GUCGCUUUACCCUGCCCUUCCUUCUACGAGAUCACUUGUCUUCGGUUCCAUUUCAUCUUCAAGCUUCAGCGUUCUCUCUCUUCAGCCACUUAAAAGUUCUGAACUUUGCUUCCGUCGAUCCACUGCUAGAAGACCUCCUAACACCACCUUCGUAUUUUCAUUCAAAACUUGAAGCAAGGAUUCCUGUUUUUUCAGAAAGAAGAGACCCGCCUUCGGAUUUGGUCCGAGUCCGAGACCGAUUCCACUCGUCCGUCGUCAACUCUGUCUCUAGGGUCUUCUAUCCCUAGAUCAGUGCUCUAUCUUUUAUAGAAAAUGUCACGAGCUGAAGAACUAUGGGAGCGGUUAGUACGUGCAUCGUUAAGUAGGGAAAGGUUAGGCACUUAUGCAUAUGUGCAUCCUGGUAUUGGCAUUGCUGGAAAUGUACCAUCUUCGCUUGCAAAAAAUAGGGAUCUUGAUGAAAUUUUGAGGGCUGCGGAUGAAAUUCAAGAUGAAGAUCCCAAUAUUUCUAGAAUCUUAUGUGAGCAUGCUUAUUCACUGGCUCAAAACCUGGAUCCUAAUAGUGAAGGAAGAGGUGUUUUACAAUUCAAAACUGGACUGAUGUCAGUCAUCAAGCAAAAACUAGCAAAGGAGGUUGGUCCAAUAGAUAGAAGUCAAGACGUUGCACGGUUGCAAGAGUUCUACAAACUGUACAGAGAGAAGAAUAAUGUGGACAAGCUACGAGAAGAAGAAAUGAAGUUGAGGGAGUCUAGUGCUUUUAGUGGAAACCUGAGCGAGUUGGAGCGAAAGACGGUAAAGAGAAAACGGUUGUUUGCAACUUUAAAAGUUAUAGGGACGGUGCUGGAACAGUUGACCAAGGAGAUUCCUGAAGAGCUUAAACGGAUGAUGGAAUCUGACACUGCAAUGACUGAAGAUUUAAUUGCUUAUAACAUUAUACCAUUGGAUGGUCCGUCCUUAACAAAUGCCAUUGUGGAUUUGCCUGAGGUGCGAGCUGCAGUGUCAGCUUUAAAGUACUUUGGGGGUUUACCAAAGGACAAGAAAUUUAAAUAAGUAGCUGGUGCAUCGGCCAUGUUGCUAUUCCCUGUGGCUUCAUGCCAUAUAGUGGAGUCACCAAUGCCACAAUUAAGAGUACUUUCAUGCCAGGUUCAGGUGAGGAAGGACACAUUGAACUAGAUAACUCUGAAGAAUGACCAAGUGAACUUCCCUGCUGACCUCCACAAACAAAGACCGAAGGGAAAUGGAUGAUUGGAAUGGGAGGAGCUUGAACCCCUUCUGUGAGCCAAUCAUUGUAGUAUACCGCAAACUGGUUAGUACCAAAAUCAAGAAUCUCAUUAUACACUUGUUCAAGAAGCUUCAGUUUCCUUGGCCUGCUUGGUGUAUCUGCUAGAGAAGCAGCUUGCUCGUCGUACCAUGCCUUCAAAUGUGAGAGCUGCGGAGAAAAAAGAUAGUCCCAUAGUUCAGGUAACAAAAUUGUUCGUGCCUGAAAAGGUGAAUGCAAAAUAUUUGCAAAAGAUGCUUUGCUGCAGUCCUCUGUUUUUCCUUUAGUUUAUAUACCACGCUGAGGUAGAGAUGAGCACAAGCUGACAGCUUAAAAUUAGGAAUUCCAGAUGUGAACCCAUCCAUCAAACCAUUCGAAUAUAACCCUGUAAUUACACGCAACUUCAAAGAAGCCCUUUGCAAUUCGUUAGCCUUAGAGGAGCUCAGCAGUUAUUUCUACUGCUUCAAUGGCUUGUUCAAGGCUGGCCAUGACCUUGCUCUCAGUACUGUGCCCUUCUUCAAGUCCAGUAAAUUUAAGGGAAGAAAAGUAGUUGUGAUGCAGAGUAGUACGAAAUUCCUCAUCGUUUAGAAAGCAUUUAAUAUAUCCAUUUAGGAUGGAGACUAUGGCUUGGAUAGCAACUUUUUCAAGAGCAGGCUCUGAAAUUACUUCUUCAACUUUGUCACGUUUUGUACUCUGGUUAUCUUCGAAGCUUUUGCAAUUCCAUGAAUGUCUCUUACACGUUUCAUUCGAGUUUAUGGGCUUUUGCAUGCUCUUCCUAUUUGUGGCACCAAAACUCAAACGUCCAAGCAUCUGUUCUGCCAUGUUUUUCCCAUUCAACUUAUCCAAUCUUUUAUCCCUCCCUGACCUCUCUUUGUAUGCUUCCUUUUCCCUGCAUCCAUUUGAAUACUUACCAGUCUCUCUCUCUCUGAGCUAUAAAAUUUAUUUGAAUAUAUAAUCCUGAAACUCUCGUCAUCCUGCCUAUGAUCCUCUAUUUCAUUUUGUGGCAUGUUUCUGGAUAAGUUGGGACGAAAACUUUUCCCUUCCUUGAUAUGGCUAAAACGCCUCUCUCUACUUUCUUUCUUCAAGCCUUCAUAUUUCUUUUCCAAAAACUUAUCCCUUGAUCACCUACCCCUACUGUCAUUUGGCGGUAAUUCACUUCUCGAACUGUGCCGAGCUACCUCGGACCUUGCCCUCUCCAUCUUAUAUCUAUGUCCCAGUACAGAAUCAUUCUUGUAUUGAUCUCGGGAAGUGUAAGAAGACAUUCUUGCAGCAUUAAAGGAUGAUCUAGCCAAUGAUCUUACUUUAAACCCUUCCUCCACAAGAAGCUCCUCCAAAGAUAAUGCCAUUUCUGUUGAUGUUAGAAACUCCACCACACUAGAAUAAAGGAGAUCACAGUGAAAAAGGUUUAUGUACACAUGAAUUGAAAUAAACAGCCAUUAGUAAGUCAGGAAGACCGUAUGUACAAGGGAUUAUGACAUUGCCUCCUGAAGAUUAUUAUAGAGGAAAUUUUAUUUCCUUGAGUUUCUUCUUGUUUUCUGACUGUAAGGAAGGAGAAUGUUAUCAUGGAAUUACUCAUUUAGUAUUAACUACUAGCAAAUCUGUUACGGUGAA
RNA transcript from Carya illinoinensis, 2866 nucleotides. It is a transcript of the gene named callose synthase 9-like, with no coding region annotated. The transcript has 8 exons. NCBI's taxonomy places the organism in Eukaryota, Viridiplantae, Streptophyta, Magnoliopsida, Fagales, Juglandaceae. The record is from RefSeq and is a predicted model, not a curated record.